Molecule: long non-coding RNA, 1284 nt
Filed under: Citrus sinensis (sweet orange)
Lineage: Eukaryota; Viridiplantae; Streptophyta; Magnoliopsida; Sapindales; Rutaceae
Description: long non-coding RNA (CSIN_LNC003916)
Source: RNAcentral
AUUAGCUUCCCUUGAAUUCUGCAGAAUAUCGGCCAAAAGUCUUAACGUUAAUUCCACUUGAUGUUGCAUUGUACUUGCCUAGAUAUGCUGCCACAUCUAACCUAUCACCCUCUAACCACAGUGGCAUUCCCCCAUCAGAUACUCCCAUUAUGUAGCCAAAACUAUUAGCACUAAGUUCUAACUCCCUACCAUUAAAUUCUAUCACACACCUAGCCACAUCCGUCCUCUGAACAAGCCAACAACAUAGUUUCCUUUUCAGUCUUCCACAAUUAAGCUUAAUCAGAUUAUCUAGUCCCAUUUCAGAAACUACUUCCCUCUGGUCAUCUGUCAGUUGUACCACAAUAGCUGCAAACCUGUCAGGUGCGCACCGGGUGAGAAACUUUCUCUCCUCAAUAGCAACUUUCUCAACUCUAUGCAAUUGGGUUAUGCAUUUGCUUUUCUCGCUCGGAGGUAAGUUUUUCAAUUCCGUUCCUAGUUCUUUGCGAACCUAUACGAAAUUAUUACAUAUCAUUUCCAAUAUAUUCUCAACUAAAUCGAUUAAAACAUCGCUUUUAAUUUACUAACCUCUCUCGUAAUGCAUGCUCUUGCAUUAUUUGCCUUCAUUCGACGCACUGCUUCCCCACUGCACAUUUACAAAAUUGCAUUGAUUUACGAACACAUCAUAUUCAAGUUUGUCUAUGCGAACAAAUUAAUUGACUUCAUUAAUUUUUCGGUACUCUUUCACAAACUUACAAGAAGCUGACAAAUCCAUAGCUACUUUGCGUGGCUUCAUUCCCUUCACCAUUGACAAUGGUCACUUUUUCGAGAUCACCAUUAGGAUUGCAUAACUUCCGCUUACGAAUUCUCCCCAAUUCCAUUCCUGCAACCCAAAUCAUUCUUAAAUAUCACUUUAACAUUCUUUUCUUCUUUCUUGCCUUCAAUCUAGUGACUUCAGCCUCAAUUUUUAAUAUAUCAUAUUACCAUUAUAUAUUAAUAUUUCAUCUAUUUACUAAUAAUUGCUAUAUCAUCUACAUUCUACAGGCUAUUUUCACACAAGCAGUCUACCUUCGAGGGCAAAGACAACGAAACCUAUUUACACGGUAUAAAUAAAAUCAAGUGCUUGCAUUCUGAAAUGGAUCCAACCAGUGUCCUUCAAAGAAUAUAAGAAAGAUGAACUUAUGUGUACCCCAAUGGGAGGACAUAAGAUGGUGCACAAGGUAAAUAACAUAAAUGUAACUUUGAAUUCAUCAUUAGCUUCCCUUGAAUUCUGCAGAAUAUCGGCCAAAGUCUUAACGUUAAUUCCAC